This 345-nucleotide ribosomal RNA is filed under the name Arion subfuscus. RNAcentral's name for it is "eukaryotic LSU rRNA". The record is from RNAcentral. Lineage: Eukaryota; Metazoa; Mollusca; Gastropoda; Stylommatophora; Arionidae.
UCCGACCUCAGAUCGGACGAGAUUACCCGCUGAAUUUAAGCAUAUAUCUCAACGGAGGAAAAGAAACAUCAGGGGGUUCCCCCGUAACAGAGAGUGAAGUGGGCAGAGAAGGCCACCGAAUACUCCAUCGAUGCGCCGACGCCGAGAGCUGUGUUGUUGGCGACGCCACCAGCUGCAGGCAGAGGGCGUACUGACUCAUUUUGAUCGGCGCUUCACCCGCUGAUGGGAGACCCGGACUACGCAGGUAAGGAUGCGAUCGCUUUAGACUAGCCGACCCUCAGACUGGCGUGGCCACGGGAUGGACCCCGAGGCCGCCAUAUGCGUUCUAGAUGUAAAUGUUUACUG